GGCCCAUUGGUCAAGAGGUCAAGACGUCACCCUCUCACGGUGAAAUCAUGGGUUCGAUUCCCGUAUGGGUCAC
This 73-nucleotide transfer RNA is filed under the name Clostridium butyricum. RNAcentral describes it as "tRNA-Glu". It matches the Rfam family "tRNA". Rfam says of the family: Transfer RNA (tRNA) molecules are approximately 80 nucleotides in length. Their secondary structure includes four short double-helical elements and three loops (D, anti-codon, and T loops). Further hydrogen bonds mediate the characteristic L-shaped molecular structure. tRNAs have two regions of fundamental functional importance: the anti-codon, which is responsible for specific mRNA codon recognition, and the 3' end, to which the tRNAs corresponding amino acid is attached (by aminoacyl-tRNA synthetases). tRNAs cope with the degeneracy of the genetic code in two manners: having more than one tRNA (with a specific anti-codon) for a particular amino acid; and 'wobble' base-pairing, i.e. permitting non-standard base-pairing at the 3rd anti-codon position. The record is from RNAcentral. Lineage: Bacteria; Bacillati; Bacillota; Clostridia; Eubacteriales; Clostridiaceae.